CACGUAGGCGGACCAGAAAGUUGGGGGUGAAAUCCCGGGGCUCAACCCCGGAACUGCCUCCAAAACUAUUGGUCUAGAGUUCGAGAGAGGUGAGUGGAAUUCCGAGUGUAGAGGUGAAAUUCGUAGAUAUUCGGAGGAACACCAGUGGCGAAGGCGGCUCACUGGCUCGAUACUGACGCUGAGGUGCGAAAGUGUGGGGAGCAAACAGGAUUAGAUACCCUGGUAGUCC
Molecule: ribosomal RNA, 229 nt
Filed under: uncultured bacterium
Lineage: Bacteria
Description: partial 16S ribosomal RNA
Rfam family: Bacterial small subunit ribosomal RNA
Source: RNAcentral